UACGUUCUCUCAUAUAAAAUCAAACAAUUCAUAUAAUUUUUGUAUCAGAAAAGCUGGUUUGGUUAAUCAGCCAUGUUGAGUCCUAAUGCUGAUAUUGCUCAAGUUUACGUAUUGAGGAAACUCCAUAAAGAGAAGAAGACGAAGAGACUCGAAAAUCAAGAAAAAGCAUCACCAAAAAGCAAUUCUGGUGUUGGAUCUUGUGUCGUGUUCGACAAAGUUCGGCCAAUUUCUAUGCCAAAGUCAAAUUCUUAACUCGACCGAGCUAAGCUUUAUCAAAAUCAGACGAGAGAGAGGGUUUUAUUAGAAUAAUGAGUGUAAUUAUUAUGUCUUCUCUGGUUCUUCCAUUUGAUGGGAGUUGUAAGUAGAUUUUCAUGUAUGGUUUUCUGCAAAUGAUAAUUUCAUUUGCUAUAUUUAGAACAACUUGAAAUUGAAUUGAUUAAUAAUUAUAACUUCAAUUACAUGUCUAAU
This 468-nucleotide long non-coding RNA is filed under the name Olea europaea (common olive). Its description in RNAcentral is "long non-coding RNA (OEUR_LNC015058)". The record is from RNAcentral. Lineage: Eukaryota; Viridiplantae; Streptophyta; Magnoliopsida; Lamiales; Oleaceae.